Molecule: ribosomal RNA, 230 nt
Filed under: uncultured bacterium
Lineage: Bacteria
Description: partial 16S ribosomal RNA
Rfam family: Bacterial small subunit ribosomal RNA
Source: RNAcentral
UGAGGAACAUGACCUUCGGCGGGGGAUAGCCGGCCCAACGGCCGGGUAAUACCGCGUACGACCACUUUGGGACAUCCCUCGGUGGUGAAAGCAGCAAUGCGCCGAUGGAGUGCCUCGCGGCCUAUCAGCUAGUUGGUGAGGUAAUGGCUCACCAAGGCGACGACGGGUAGCUGGUCUGAGAGGAUGGCCAGCCACAUUGGGACUGAGACACGGCCAGACUCCGUAGGAGG